GAAGAUCUUGUGUCAUGUGGUAAAGCUUUCACAAUAUUCACAAUACAUAGAUAGGCCCUAGUACCCUUUACUGUGGGUUACAAUGACUAGGGCAUAUCACAUGAAUCAUUGAUAGUGCACUAGAAGUAAUAACUAGAAGUAAUAGGGUUAGGGUUACAAAGGCAAGGUGUAUCAGGUAGAAAAAGUUCAUGAUAGGUAAACAGGUCCUAGUACCCAUCCUUGGGGUUACAAUCACUAGGGGAUUUCAGCUGGAACAUCACACAUACACUAUAGGUAAACAGGUCCUAGUACCCAUCCUUGGGGUUACAGUGACUAGGGGAUAUCAGCUGGAACAUCACACAUACACUAUAGGUAAACAGGUCCUAGUACCCAUCCUUGGGGUUACAAUCACUAGGGGAUAUCAGCUGGAACAUCACACAUACACUAUAGGUAAACAGGUCCUAGUACCCAUCCUUGGGGUUACAGUGACUAGGGGAUUUCAGCUGGAACAUCACACAUACACUAUAGGUAAAUAGGUCCUAGUACCCAUCCUUGGGGUUACAGUGACUAGGGGAUAUCAGCUGGAACAUCACACAUACACUAUAGGUAAACAGGCCCCUAGUACCCAUCCUUGGGGUUACAAUGGCAAGGUGUAUCAGGUGGAAAAGCAAGCAUUCACAACAAAAACAGCCCCUAGUAGCCAUACUUUAAGUCUUCUUAGCUUCCCAAAAUCUUGGAACCUAAGAGUAGCCCCGGUCAAACAGAGAACAGAGAAGUAACUCUGCACUGUUAUGUUGCUUACCAUACUUUUCCCUUCUACUCUGUUGUACGGUUCCACACAUGUAGAACCUUUAGAGCUUCCCAGGAGGACGACCAAAGAA
Molecule: long non-coding RNA, 860 nt
Organism: Ictalurus punctatus (channel catfish)
Lineage: Eukaryota; Metazoa; Chordata; Actinopteri; Siluriformes; Ictaluridae
Source: Ensembl